GACGAACGCUGGCGGCGUGCCUAAUACAUGCAAGUUGAGCGAUGAAGAUUGGUGCUUGCACCAAUUUGAAGAGCAGCGAACGGGUGAGUAACGCGUGGGGAAUCUGCCUUUGAGCGGGGGACAACAUUUGGAAACGAAUGCUAAUACCGCAUAACAACUUUAAACAUAAGUUUUAAGUUUGAAAGAUGCAAUUGCAUCACUCAAAGAUGAUCCCGCGUUGUAUUAGCUAGUUGGUGAGGUAAAGGCUCACCAAGGCGAGGAUACAUAGCCGACCUGAGAGGGUGAUCGGCCACAUUGGGACGGAGACACGGCCCAAACGCCUACGGGAGGCAGCAGUAGGGAAUCUUCGGCAAUGGACGAAAGUCUGACCGAGCAACGCCGCGGGAGUGAAGAAGGUUGUCGGAUCGUAAAACUCUGUUGGUAGAGAAGAACGUUGGUGAGAGUGGAAAGCUCAUCAAGUGACGGUAACUACCCAGAAAGGGACGGCUAACUACGUG
RNAcentral lists this ribosomal RNA (497 nucleotides) under uncultured bacterium. RNAcentral's name for it is "partial 16S ribosomal RNA". It matches the Rfam family "Bacterial small subunit ribosomal RNA", at positions 28 to 507 of the family's 1533-position model. The record is from RNAcentral.